This 442-nucleotide ribosomal RNA is filed under the name uncultured bacterium. Its description in RNAcentral is "partial 16S ribosomal RNA". It matches the Rfam family "Bacterial small subunit ribosomal RNA", at positions 338 to 795 of the family's 1533-position model. The record is from RNAcentral.
ACUACGGGAGGCAGCAGUGGGGAAUAUUGGGCAAUGGGCGCAAGCCUGACCCAGCAACGCCGCGUGAAGGAAGAAGGCUUUCGGGUUGUAAACUUCUUUUGACAGGGAAGAGCAGAAGACGGUACCUGUCGAAUAAGCCACGGCUAACUACGUGCCAGCAGCCGCGGUAAUACGUAGGUGGCAAGCGUUGUCCGGAUUUACUGGGUGUAAAGGGCGUGUAGCCGGGCUGACAAGUCAGAUGUGAAAUCCGGGGGCUCAACCCCCGAACUGCAUUUGAAACUGUUGGUCUUGAGUCUCGGAGAGGCAGGCGGAAUUCCUAGUGUAGCGGUGAAAUGCGUAGAUAUUAGGAGGAACACCAGUGGCGAAGGCGGCCUGCUGGACGACAACUGACGGUGAGGCGCGAAAGCGUGGGGAGCAAACAGGAUUAGAUACCCUAGUAGUC